AGUGAACGCUGGCGGCAGGCCUAAUACAUGCAAGUCGAACGGCAGCACAGCAGAGCUUGCUCUGUGGGUGGCGAGUGGCGGACGGGUGAGGAAUACGUGGGAAUCUGCCCAGUCGUGGGGGAUAACGUAGGGAAACUUACGCUAAUACCGCAUGCGCCCUCUGGGGGAAAGCCGGGGAUCUUCGGACCUGGCGCGAUGUGAUGAGCCCACGUCGGAUUAGCUAGUUGGAGGGGUAAAGGCCCACCAAGGCGACGAUCCGGAGCUGGUCUGAGAGGAUGAUCAGCCACACUGGAACUGAGACACGGUCCAGACUCCUACGGGAGGCAGCAGUAGGGAAUAUUGGAUAAUGGGCGCAAGCCUGAUCCAGCCAUGCCGCGUGAGUGAAGAAGGCCCUCGGGUUGUAAAGCUCUUUCGCAAGGGAAGAAACGAUACAGAAUAAUACUCUGUGUUAAUGACGGUACCUUGAUAAGAAGCACCGGCUAACUACGUGCCAGCCGCCGCCGUAA
This 506-nucleotide ribosomal RNA is filed under the name uncultured bacterium. RNAcentral's name for it is "partial 16S ribosomal RNA". It matches the Rfam family "Bacterial small subunit ribosomal RNA", at positions 29 to 523 of the family's 1533-position model. The record is from RNAcentral.